GUCUUAAUUGGGCGUUAAGUUGCAGGGUAUAGACCCGAAACCCGGUGAUCUAGCCAUGGGCAGGUUGAAGGUUGGGUAACACUAACUGGAGGACCGAACCGACUAAUGUUGAAAAAUUAGCGGAUGACCUGUGGCUGGGGGUGAAAGGCCAAUCAAACCGGGAGAUAGCUGGUUCUCCCCGAAAGCUAUUUAGGUAGCGCCUCGUGAAUUCAUCUCCGGGGGUAGAGCACUGUUUCGGCUAGGGGGCCAUCCCGGCUUACCAACCCGAUGCAAACUGCGAAUACCGGAGAAUGUUAUCACGGGAGACACACGGCGGGUGCUAACGUCCGUCGUGAAGAGGGAAACAACCCAGACCGCCAGCUAAGGUCCCAAAGUCAUGGUUAAGUGGGAAACGAUGUGGGAAGGCCCAGACAGCCAGGAUGUUGGCUUAGAAGCAGCCAUCAUUUAAAGAAAGCGUAAUAGCUCACUGGUCGAGUCGGCCUGCGCGGAAGAUGUAACGGGGCUAAACCAUGCACCGAAGCUGCGGCAGCGAACGUAUCACUUAAAGCGAUUCAGCGGGUUACGAUUGACGGAGCGAAGCGACGUCAAAGCGUAUACAAAGUCGAGUCGGUUUAAGGAUACGUUCGUUGGGUAGGGGAGCGUUCUGUAAGCCUGUGAAGGUGUGUCGUGAGGCAUGCUGGAGGUAUCAGAAGUGCGAAUGCUGACAUAAGUAACGAUAAAGCGGGUGAAAAGCCCGCUCGCCGGAAGACCAAGGGUUCCUGUCCAACGUUAAUCGGGGCAGGGUGAGUCGACCCCUAAGGCGAGGCCGAAAGGCGUAGUCGAUGGGAAACGGGUUAAUAUUCCCGUACUUGGUGUUACUGCGAAGGGGGGACGGAGAAGGCUAUGUUGGCCGGGCGACGGUUGUCCCGGUUUAAGCGUGUAGGUGUGUGUUCCAGGUAAAUCCGGUUCACUUUAACACUGAGGCGUGAUGACGAGGCACUACGGUGCUGAAGCAACAAAUGCCCUGCUUCCAGGAAAAGCCUCUAAGCAUCAGGUAACAUCAAAUCGUACCCCAAACCGACACAGGUGGUCAGGUAGAGAAUACCAAGGCGCUUGAGAGAACUCGGGUGAAGGAACUAGGCAAAAUGGUGCCGUAACU
RNAcentral lists this ribosomal RNA (1138 nucleotides) under Salmonella enterica subsp. enterica serovar Infantis. RNAcentral's name for it is "partial 23S ribosomal RNA". It matches the Rfam family "Bacterial large subunit ribosomal RNA", at positions 681 to 1735 of the family's 2925-position model. Lineage: Bacteria; Pseudomonadati; Pseudomonadota; Gammaproteobacteria; Enterobacterales; Enterobacteriaceae. The record is from RNAcentral.